This 72-nucleotide transfer RNA is filed under the name Camelus bactrianus (Bactrian camel). It matches the Rfam family "tRNA". From Rfam's summary of the family: Transfer RNA (tRNA) molecules are approximately 80 nucleotides in length. Their secondary structure includes four short double-helical elements and three loops (D, anti-codon, and T loops). Lineage: Eukaryota; Metazoa; Chordata; Mammalia; Artiodactyla; Camelidae. The record is from Rfam by way of RNAcentral. RNAcentral also lists the same sequence under 1 other name.
GAGGGUAUAGCUCAGUGGUAUAGCGUGUGCUUAGCAUGUAUGAGGUCCUGGGAUCAAUCCCCAGGAUCUCCA